CCCACAUGCAUCUGUCCCACACCGCACGACUGCUGUGGCUCCGACAGCUUGAGGGACUUCCUGGCCACUUCGUGGUCCAUGCCAGAGACACGGACGCGGAACUGGUCCCUGCUGACCGUCUUCCGUAAGGUUCGGAUGGUUUUACGGAACCUCUUCUCUGUCUUUUUUCGGGCGCAGCGCACAUCACACGUGUCAACACAAUCCUUUUUAUUCCAGUGUAAUUUGUAGUUAGAAUGGC
This 238-nucleotide long non-coding RNA is filed under the name Gallus gallus (chicken). Lineage: Eukaryota; Metazoa; Chordata; Aves; Galliformes; Phasianidae. The record is from RNAcentral.